Molecule: unclassified non-coding RNA, 208 nt
Filed under: Hevea brasiliensis (rubber tree)
Lineage: Eukaryota; Viridiplantae; Streptophyta; Magnoliopsida; Malpighiales; Euphorbiaceae
Source: RNAcentral
CGGUUCCGCUGAGCCAGGCAGUAGAUCCCGAAGACCCCGCCAAGUCUCCGCCAGCCUCCCCCAAUUCCUCCACUCGAAAGGCUUGCUGUGCUGUUCUCCAAAGCUGGGUGUCAAAAAAGUUUAUGACUGGAUGUGUAGUUCUCUUUCCUGUAGCAGUUACCUUCUUCAUCACAUGGUGGUUUAUUCAGUUUGUUGAUGGCUUCUUCAG